This 635-nucleotide ribosomal RNA is filed under the name uncultured Bacteroidales bacterium. RNAcentral's name for it is "bacterial SSU rRNA". It matches the Rfam family "Bacterial small subunit ribosomal RNA", at positions 65 to 689 of the family's 1533-position model. Lineage: Bacteria; Pseudomonadati; Bacteroidota; Bacteroidia; Bacteroidales. The record is from RNAcentral.
AGGGGCAGCAUGGUCUUAGCUUGCUAAGACUGAUGGCGACCGGCGCACGGGUGAGUAACACGUAUCCAACCUGCCGUCUACUCUUGGACAGCCUUCUGAAAGGAAGAUUAAUACAAGAUGGCAUCAUGAGUCCGCAUGUUCACACGAUUAAAGGUAUUCCGGUAGACGAUGGGGAUGCGUUCCAUUAGAUAGUAGGCGGGGUAACGGCCCACCUAGUCUUCGAUGGAUAGGGGUUCUGAGAGGAAGGUCCCCCACAUUGGAACUGAGACACGGUCCAAACUCCUACGGGAGGCAGCAGUGAGGAAUAUUGGUCAAUGGGCGAGAGCCUGAACCAGCCAAGUAGCGUGAAGGAUGACUGCCCUAUGGGUUGUAAACUUCUUUUAUAAAGGAAUAAAGUCGGGUAUGUAUACCCGUUUGCAUGUACUUUAUGAAUAAGGAUCGGCUAACUCCGUGCCAGCAGCCGCGGUAAUACGGAGGAUCCGAGCGUUAUCCGGAUUUAUUGGGUUUAAAGGGAGCGUAGAUGGAUGUUUAAGUCAGUUGUGAAAGUUUGCGGCUCAACCGUAAAAUUGCAGUUGAUACUGGAUAUCUUGAGUGCAGUUGAGGCAGGCGGAAUUCGUGGUGUAGCGGUGAAAUGC